RNAcentral lists this small nuclear RNA (103 nucleotides) under Marmota marmota marmota (Alpine marmot). RNAcentral also lists the same sequence under 1 other name. The record is from RNAcentral. Lineage: Eukaryota; Metazoa; Chordata; Mammalia; Rodentia; Sciuridae.
UUGCUUAGGCAGCAAAUACACUAAAAUUGGAAUGAUACAGAGAAAAUUAGCAUGGCCCCUGCACAGGGAUGACAUGCAAAUUCACAAAGUGUUCCAUAUUUGU